GGAUAUAUAGCUCAGGGGUACAGCACUGGACUGGCAUGUGCAGGACUCUGGGUUCAAUCCCCAGUACAUACA
RNAcentral lists this transfer RNA (72 nucleotides) under Ictidomys tridecemlineatus (thirteen-lined ground squirrel). Its description in RNAcentral is "Spermophilus tridecemlineatus (thirteen-lined ground squirrel) tRNA". It matches the Rfam family "tRNA". From Rfam's summary of the family: Transfer RNA (tRNA) molecules are approximately 80 nucleotides in length. Their secondary structure includes four short double-helical elements and three loops (D, anti-codon, and T loops). The record is from Rfam by way of RNAcentral. Lineage: Eukaryota; Metazoa; Chordata; Mammalia; Rodentia; Sciuridae.